This 72-nucleotide transfer RNA is filed under the name Ovis aries (sheep). It matches the Rfam family "tRNA". From Rfam's summary of the family: Transfer RNA (tRNA) molecules are approximately 80 nucleotides in length. Lineage: Eukaryota; Metazoa; Chordata; Mammalia; Artiodactyla; Bovidae. The record is from Rfam by way of RNAcentral.
UCCCUGGUGUCUCAGUUGGUAAAGAAUCUGCCUGCAAUGCAGGACACCUGGGCUCAAUCUCCGGCUUGGGAA